UACAGAGGGGGCGAGCGUUAUUCGGAAUUAUUGGGCGUAAAGGGCGCGUAGGCGGCUUGACAAGUCCUGGGUGAAAUCCCUCGGCUCAACCGAGGAACUGCCUUGGAAACUGUCUCGCUCGAGGCCGGGAGAGGGUAGCGGAAUUCCCAGUGUAGCGGUGAAAUGCGUAGAUACUGGGAGGAACACCGGUGGCGAAGGCGGCUACCUGGACCGGAUCUGACGCUGAGGCGCGAAAGCGUGGGGAGCAAACAGG
RNAcentral lists this ribosomal RNA (253 nucleotides) under uncultured prokaryote. Its description in RNAcentral is "partial 16S ribosomal RNA". It matches the Rfam family "Bacterial small subunit ribosomal RNA", at positions 524 to 776 of the family's 1533-position model. The record is from RNAcentral.